CGUGCCUAAUACAUGCAAGUCGAGCGCGGGAAGCCGGCGGACUCCUUCGGGAGGAAACCGGUGGAACGAGCGGCGGACGGGUGAGUAACACGUGGGCAACCUGCCGGACUGAUGGGAAUAACCCCGGGAAACCGGGGCUAAUGCCCAAUACGCCCUGACCUCGCCUGAGGUCAGCGGUAAAGCAGGGAUCUUCGGAUCCUUGCACAGUCCGAUGGGCCCGCGGCGCAUUAGCUAGUUGGAGAGGUAAGGGCUCCCCAAGGCGACGAUGCGUAGCCGACCUGAGAGGGUGAUCGGCCACACUGGGACUGAGACACGGCCCAGACUCCUACGGGAGGCAGCAGUAGGGAAUCAUCCGCAAUGGGCGAAAGCCUGACGGUGCAACGCCGCGUGAGUGAUGAAGGUUUUCGGAUCGUAAAGCUCUGUUGACAGGGAAGAACCCACGCCAGUCGAACAGGCUGGCGUGCUGACGGUACCUGUCCAGAAAGCCCCGGCUAACUACGUGCCAGCAGCCGCGGUAAUACGUAGGGGGCAAGCGUUGUCCGGAAUUAUUGGGCGUAAAGGGCACGCAGGCGGUUUCGUCAGUCCGAUGUGACAGGCCACGGCUCAACCGUGGAAGGCCAUUGGAAACUGCGAAACUUGAGGACAGAA
This 648-nucleotide ribosomal RNA is filed under the name Marinococcus sp. SCULCB HBCM-3. Its description in RNAcentral is "bacterial SSU rRNA". It matches the Rfam family "Bacterial small subunit ribosomal RNA", at positions 43 to 653 of the family's 1533-position model. Lineage: Bacteria; Bacillati; Bacillota; Bacilli; Caryophanales; Bacillaceae. The record is from RNAcentral.